UAACGCGAUAAGUAUCCCGCCUGGGAAGUAUGUUCGCAAGAAUGAAACUCAAAGGAAUUGACGGGGGCCCGUACCAGCGGUGGAGCAUGUGGUUUAAUUCGAUGCAACACGAAGAACCUUACCAGGAUUUGACAUAGAGAGAAAUUUUUUGAAAAAAAAAUGUGCUACGGCCUCUUAUACAGGUGGUGCAUGGCUGUCGUCAGCUCGUGUCGUGAGAUGUUGGGUUAAGUCCCGCAACGAGCGUAACCCUUGUUUCUAGUUAAAAUUCUAGAAAGACUGCUGAUUAUAAAUCAGAGGAAGGUGAGGACGACGUCAAGUCAUCAUGCCCCUUAUAUCCUGGGCUACACACGUGCUACAAUGGAUAUGACAAAAAGUUGCCAAUUUGCAAAAAUGAGCGAAUCUUGAAACAUGUCCUUAGUUCAGAUUGUAGGCUGCAACUCGCCUACAUGAAGGUGGAAUCGCUAGUAAUCGCAGGUCAGCUAUACUGCGGUGAAUCCGUUCCCGGGCCUUGUACACACCGCCCGUCACACCAUGGGAGUUGGUUAUACCCGAAGAUAUUUUUCUAACCUUAAUUGGAUGAAAGUAUUUAAGGUAAAAUUGGUGACUAAGGUGAAGUCGUAACAAGGUAACC
Molecule: ribosomal RNA, 631 nt
Filed under: uncultured bacterium
Lineage: Bacteria
Description: bacterial SSU rRNA
Rfam family: Bacterial small subunit ribosomal RNA
Source: RNAcentral